AGACUAGUAACCGACUGUCUCUGGAGCAAGUGGCAAAAGACUUAAUGGUUGGUAUCUGAGAUCUAAGUUUGAAUUCUAGUUGAUUCACAUUUCUAGCUAAGUUUAUUUUUAAAUGAAAUAAACGAAGCGGGUAGCGUGCUAUCUAUCUCUCACAAAAAAAAAAAAAAUAAAAUAAAAUCUAAGACUAGUACCAACUGGUCCUAGCGUAAGUGCCAACGGAUUUGGUGAUUGGUACUGAGGUCUUAGAUUCGAAGUCUAGUUGUCUCACAUUUUCGACUUAAUUUAUUUCUAAAAAAAACAAAUGAAACAGAUAGGAUGCUGUUUUUCUCUCAAAACACAUCUAAGACUAGCGAAAAAAUUUGAGGCUUUGUCUCUUGGGUGGAGUUUGAGAUGUGUUUUGACAGAGGGCUUGAUGUCAAGGACCUACAAAUGUGAUUAAAUAAUAAUAAUAAUAAUAAUAAUAAUAAGGGGCAACUGUUUAUACACUUUUGAAAAGUUUUCGACUUUAUAAUUUACCCUUCUUGAAAGGCUAAUAUUGAAAAUAUCUUUUUUAUGUUCCAACCUAUUUCAAAUAUACCGCAAGAGUUAAAAUCUGUUAAUAAACUCUGUUAUUUCUAUAAAAUUACUAUUUUACCCUUUCAAAUAUAUACUUCUACCAUCACUGGCUUUUCUUAUUUGCCUUUAAGUUAGAGGCACAAAAAGUAUUUUGCUUUUUGGUGUUUUCUAAUAUACCUUACUACCAUCACAAAUAUUUCUUAUUUACCCUUAAGUUAAGGACAAAAAUGGUUUUUUAAUUUUUUUUUAAUUGUGCUAGAUAUUUAACUCACGUUUAACCCAAGUUAAUUUAACAGUUGGUAACUAUAGGGGUAUUUUAGAAUAACGGAAGAGCAUAUGAGGGUAUAUUUGAAAGAAAAAAAAGGAGGAAUAAAUGAGAUAUUUUCGAAGUUUUUAGGGGUAUAUAGGCAAUUAUCUCUAAUAAUAAUAAAAAAUAUUUUCUGUGAGAAU
RNAcentral lists this long non-coding RNA (1005 nucleotides) under Ananas comosus (pineapple). Its description in RNAcentral is "long non-coding RNA (ACOM_LNC039277)". The record is from RNAcentral. Lineage: Eukaryota; Viridiplantae; Streptophyta; Magnoliopsida; Poales; Bromeliaceae.